UGGGCAACCAGUUGACGUUUGCCGUUGCGGAGUGAGGAAAGUCCGCACUCCACUGGGCAGGGUAGCGGGUAACUCCCGUCCGUCGUGAGACGAGGACCAGUGGCACAGAGACGACAACCCGACCAGCUUUGGCGCUAGGUAGCCUUUACCUUGCAAGCGAGUUGGCCAGGGGGUGAAAAGGGUCAAACUCUACCCGGAGCAAGCCCAUGCAGGGACGUUGACGCGGCUCGCCGAGUCCCAGGUAGGGUGCAAGGAUCCCCGGGGCAACUCGUGGGACAAGAGAGAUGAUCGCCACCUGUCACAUGACGCGAAGGGUAAUUCCGGAACCUACUGUGGCUGGUACAGAAUGCGGCUUACAGGCCACCCCAUUCC
This 372-nucleotide RNase P RNA is filed under the name Chloroflexota bacterium. Its description in RNAcentral is "Chloroflexi bacterium (freshwater metagenome) RNase P RNA component class A". It matches the Rfam family "Bacterial RNase P class A". Rfam says of the family: Ribonuclease P (RNase P) is a ubiquitous endoribonuclease, found in archaea, bacteria and eukarya as well as chloroplasts and mitochondria. Its best characterised activity is the generation of mature 5'-ends of tRNAs by cleaving the 5'-leader elements of precursor-tRNAs. Lineage: Bacteria; Bacillati; Chloroflexota. The record is from RNAcentral.